UACUCCUACGGGAGGCAGCAGUGAGGAAUAUUGGUCAAUGGGCGAGAGCCUGAACCAGCCAAGUCGCGUGAAGGAAGACGGUUCUAUGAAUUGUAAACUUCUUUUGUAGAGGAAUAAAGUGGGUUACGUGUAGCCUUUUGUAUGUACUUUACGAAUAAGGAUCGGCUAACUCCGUGCCAGCAGCCGCGGUAAUACGGAGGAUCCAAGCGUUAUCCGGAUUUAUUGGGUUUAAAGGGUGCGUAGGUGGAUUGAUAAGUCAGCGGUGAAAGUUUGCAGCUUAACUGUAAAAUUGCCGUUGAAACUGUCAGUCUUGAGUGCAAAUGAGGUAGGCGGAAUGUGUUGUGUAGCGGUGAAAUGCUUAGAUAUAACACAGAACUCCGAUUGCGAAGGCAGCUUACUGGGAUGCAACUGACACUGAUGCACGAAAGCGUGGGUAUCAAACAGGAUUAGAUACCCUGGUAGUCA
This 465-nucleotide ribosomal RNA is filed under the name uncultured Paludibacter sp. RNAcentral's name for it is "bacterial SSU rRNA". It matches the Rfam family "Bacterial small subunit ribosomal RNA", at positions 334 to 796 of the family's 1533-position model. The record is from RNAcentral. Lineage: Bacteria; Pseudomonadati; Bacteroidota; Bacteroidia; Bacteroidales; Paludibacteraceae.